This is a long non-coding RNA of Symphalangus syndactylus (siamang), 328 nucleotides long. RefSeq lists it as uncharacterized. The record is from RefSeq and is a predicted model, not a curated record. NCBI's taxonomy places the organism in Eukaryota, Metazoa, Chordata, Mammalia, Primates, Hylobatidae.
UCGACUAGAAUGUCUCAGGAGUGACUGAGUCAGAGAAUAAGAAAAUGAUAAAGUGAGAAAUUAAAACAGAUACAAGUUAUAAGUGGAGCCCCCUGAAGGGAAGGAAAGGGAUCUGGAGCCCCAUUUACUUUAUUUCCUUCACGAAUGUCCAGAGGAGAUCCUUGAAAUGAAGACUGCCACUGGACAUUGCUCCCCAGUGGAUCUCUUGCACUGAAAACUUUAUAUCAGCAUCUGCAUCCCGGAGAACCCAACUAAGACAGGCAACAAAUGUGAGCAAAUCAGUAGCCAUUUUGCUUUGGGGAAUUCAUAUUUGAACUUAGAAUAACUC